RNAcentral lists this ribosomal RNA (1313 nucleotides) under uncultured Alphaproteobacteria bacterium. RNAcentral's name for it is "uncultured alpha proteobacterium 16S ribosomal RNA". It matches the Rfam family "Bacterial small subunit ribosomal RNA", at positions 33 to 1392 of the family's 1533-position model. The record is from RNAcentral. Lineage: Bacteria; Pseudomonadati; Pseudomonadota; Alphaproteobacteria.
ACGCUGGCGGCACGCCUAACACAUGCAAGUCGAACGAAGUAGCAAUACUUAGUGGCAGACGGGUGAGUAACAUGUAGGUAUCUGCCCUUUGGCCUGGAAUAACACGAGGAAACUUGUGCUAAUACCGGAUAAGUCUUUACGGAGAAAGCUUUAUGCACCAUUGGAUGAGCCUGCACUUGAUUAGUUUGUUGGUGGGGUAAUAGCCUACCAAGACUGUGAUCAAUAGCUGAUUUGAGAGGAUGAUCAGCCACAUUGGGACUGAGACACGGCCCAAACUCCUACGGGAGGCAGCAGUGGGGAAUCUUGCACAAUGGAGGAAACUCUGAUGCAGCGAUGCCGCGUGAGUGAAGAAGGCCUUUGGGUUGUAAAGCUCUUUCGUCGGGGAAGAAAAUGACUGUACCCGAAUAAGAAGGUCCGGCUAACUUCGUGCCAGCAGCCGCGGUAAUACGAAGGGACCUAGCGUAGUUCGGAAUUACUGGGCUUAAAGAGUUCGUAGGUGGUUGAAAAAGUUAGUGGUGAAAUCCCAGAGCUUAACUCUGGAACUGCCAUUAAAACUUUUCAGCUAGAGUAUGAUAGAGGAAAGCAGAAUUUCUAGUGUAGAGGUGAAAUUCGUAGAUAUUAGAAAGAAUACCAAUUGCGAAAGGCAGCUUUCUGGAUCAUUACUGACACUGAGGAACGAAAGCAUGGGUAGCGAAGAGGAUUAGAUACCCUCGUAGUCCAUGCCGUAAACGAUGUGUGUUAGACGUUGGAAAUUUAUUUUCAGUGUCGCAGCGAAAGCGAUAAACACACCGCCUGGGGAGUACGACCGCAAGGUUAAAACUCAAAUGAAUUGACGGGGACCCGCACAAGUAGUGGAGCAUGUGGUUUAAUUCGAAGAUACGCGCAGAACCUUACCAACACUUGACAUGUUCGUCGCGACUCUAAGAGAUUAGAGUUUUCGGUUCGGCCGGACGAAACACAGGUGCUGCAUGGCUGUCGUCAGCUCGUGUCGUGAGAUGUUGGGUUAAGUCCCGCAACGAGCGCAACCCUCACUUUUAGUUGCCAUCAUUAAGUUGGGCACUCUGAAAGAACUGCCAGUGAUAAGCUGGAGGAAGGUGGGGAUGACGUCAAGUCCUCAUGGCCCUUACGUGUUGGGCUACACACGUGCUACAAUGGUAUCUACAACAGGAAGCAAGACUGCGAAGUUAAGCAAAUCCCUAAAAGAUACCUCAGUUCGGACUGCACUCUGCAACUCGAGUGCAUGAAGCUGGAAUUACUAGUAAUCGUGGAUCAGCGUGCCACGGUGAAUGCGUUCCCGGGUCUUGUACACACCG